UGCGGGUAACCCGGGAUUUUUGGGCGUAAAGCGCUCGCAGGCGGUCUUUUAAGUCUGAUGUGAAAGCCCACGGCUCAACCGUGGAGGGUCAUUGGAAACUGGGAGACUUGAGUGCAGAAGAGGAGAGUGGAAUUCCACGUGUAGCGGUGAAAUGCGUAGAGAUGUGGAGGAACACCAGUGGCGAAGGCGACUCUCUGGUCUGUAACUGACGCUGAGGAGCGAAAGCGUGGGGAGCGAACAGGAUUAGAUACCCUGGUAGUCCACGCCGUAAACGAUGAGUGCUAAGUGUUAGAGGGUUUCCGCCCUUUAGUGCUGCAGCAAACGCAUUAAGCACUCCGCCUGGGGAAUACGGUCGCAAGACUGAAACUCAAAGGAAUUGACGGGGGCCCGCACAAGCGGUGGAGCAUGUGGUUUAAUUCGAAGCAACGCGAAGAACCUUACCAGGUCUUGACAUCCUUAUGCCUUCCCUAGAGAUAGGGCUUUCCCUUCGGGGACAUAAGUGACAGGUGGUGCAUGGUUGUCGUCAGCUCGUGUCGUGAGAUGUUGGGUUAAGUCCCGCAACGAGCGCAACCCUUGACCUUAGUUGCCAGCAUUCAGUUGGGCACUCUAAGGUGACUGCCGGUGACAAACCGGAGGAAGGUGGGGAUGACGUCAAAUCAUCAUGCCCCUUAUGACCUGGGGCUACACACGUGCCUACAAUGGAUGGUAC
Molecule: ribosomal RNA, 709 nt
Filed under: uncultured soil bacterium
Lineage: Bacteria
Description: bacterial SSU rRNA
Rfam family: Bacterial small subunit ribosomal RNA
Source: RNAcentral